This 23-nucleotide microRNA is filed under the name Mus musculus (house mouse). Its description in RNAcentral is "mmu-miR-3088-3p". Lineage: Eukaryota; Metazoa; Chordata; Mammalia; Rodentia; Muridae. The record is from miRBase by way of RNAcentral.
UUCAUGAGCAGCUGCAAAGGUGU